Molecule: ribosomal RNA, 484 nt
Filed under: uncultured bacterium
Lineage: Bacteria
Description: partial 16S ribosomal RNA
Rfam family: Bacterial small subunit ribosomal RNA
Source: RNAcentral
AUUGAACGCUGGCGGCAGGCCUAACACAUGCAAGUCGAGCGGAUGAAGGGAGCUUGCUCCUGGAUUCAGCGGCGGACGGGUGAGUAAUGCCUAGGAAUCUGCCUGGUAGUGGGGGAUAACGUCCGGAAACGGGCGCUAAUACCGCAUACGUCCUGAGGGGGAAAGUGGGGGAUCUUCGGAACUCACGCUAUCAGAUGAGCCUAGGUCGGAUUAGCUAGUUGGUGGGGUAAAGGCCUACCAAGGCGACGAUCCGUAACUGGUCUGAGAGGAUGAUCAGUCACACUGGAACUGAGACACGGUCCAGACUCCUACGGGAGGCAGCAGUGGGGAAUAUUGGACAAUGGGCGAAAGCCUGAUCCAGCCAUGCCGCGUGUGUGAAGAAGGUCUUCGGAUUGUAAAGCACUUUAAGUUGGGAGGAAGGGCAGUAAGUUAAUACCUUGCUGUUUUGACGUUACCAACAGAAUAAGCACCGGCUAACUUCGUG